RNAcentral lists this unclassified non-coding RNA (203 nucleotides) under Hevea brasiliensis (rubber tree). Lineage: Eukaryota; Viridiplantae; Streptophyta; Magnoliopsida; Malpighiales; Euphorbiaceae. The record is from RNAcentral.
CGUAGUUUACUAUUAAACUGUGUUAACAUGUUAGGCUUUGUUAUGGAUUUACUAACUUAUGUCCAGAAUUGCCAAAGUCUUGUAACUCUAAUUUUGUUGUCAAUUUAUCAUUUAUUUAGUGACUUUCAAUUAGCAAUAUAGCGUGCUUUUAGUCUUACUUGGAAAUUGUGAAUUCUACACACACACACACACACACACACACA